AAGAAAGAAAGGAGAACGAAAAAACUUAUGAAGACUUCGUAUCUAAGAGGGACAUAAUCCGAAGAUCACAAAGAUCACAAUCCAAAAUCAAAUGGAAGACGAAGAAAAGGCUAAUGCACUAUAAUCGUAUAAAAGCUGAUGAAUACUCGGCGGAUUUGACCCUUGUCAGCAUCAUGAAUGAUUCAGUUAGCGAACUUUGGUUGACGGGUCGUUACUGUGUAAUGGAAAAUUCAAUCAAACACCGUUUGACGUAACCAAUGCACCGUGACAUAAAGCUCGGCUUUAGUUUACAAACCGGAUCGAGAGAUGGGAGUAUUCGUUGUGGGC
Long non-coding RNA from Vespa mandarinia (Asian giant hornet), 327 nucleotides. NCBI's taxonomy places the organism in Eukaryota, Metazoa, Arthropoda, Insecta, Hymenoptera, Vespidae. The record is from RefSeq and is a predicted model, not a curated record.